CUUGCACUUGGGGAUUAGUGGCGAACGGGUGAGUAACACGUGAGUAACCUGCCCUGGACUCUGGGAUAACCCCGAGAAAUCGGAGCUAAUACCGGAUAGGACCCUUCACCGCAUGGUGCGGGGUGGAAAGUUUUUCGGUCUGGGAUGGACUCGCGGCCUAUCAGCUUGUUGGUGAGGUAAUGGCUCACCAAGGCGUCGACGGGUAGCCGGCCUGAGAGGGUGACCGGCCACACUGGGACUGAGACACGGCCCAGACUCCUACGGGAGGCAGCAGUGGGGAAUAUUGCACAAUGGGCGAAAGCCUGAUGCAGCAACGCCGCGUGCGGGAUGACGGCCUUCGGGUUGUAAACCGCUUUUAGUAAGGAAGAAGCCGCAAGGUGACGGUACUUGCAGAAAAAGGACCGGCUAACUACGUGCCAGCAGCCGCGGUAAUACGUAGGGUCCGAGCGUUGUCCGGAAUUAUUGGGCGUAAAGAGCUCGUAGGCGGUUUGUCGCGUCUGCUGUGAAAACUAGAGGCUCAACCUCUAGCCUGCAGUGGGUACGGGCAGACUUGAGUGGUGUA
This 562-nucleotide ribosomal RNA is filed under the name Agromyces sp. CM05. RNAcentral describes it as "bacterial SSU rRNA". It matches the Rfam family "Bacterial small subunit ribosomal RNA", at positions 79 to 653 of the family's 1533-position model. Lineage: Bacteria; Bacillati; Actinomycetota; Actinomycetes; Micrococcales; Microbacteriaceae. The record is from RNAcentral.